RNAcentral lists this ribosomal RNA (496 nucleotides) under uncultured bacterium. RNAcentral's name for it is "partial 16S ribosomal RNA". It matches the Rfam family "Bacterial small subunit ribosomal RNA", at positions 29 to 507 of the family's 1533-position model. The record is from RNAcentral.
ACGAACGCUGGCGGCGUGCCUAAUACAUGCAAGUUGAGCGCUGAAGGUUGGUACUUGUACCAACUGGAUGAGCAGCGAACGGGUGAGUAACGCGUGGGGAAUCUGCCUUUGAGCGGGGGACAACAUUUGGAAACGAAUGCUAAUACCGCAUAAAAACUUUAAACACAAGUUUUAAGUUUGAAAGAUGCAAUUGCAUCACUCAAAGAUGAUCCCGCGUUGUAUUAGCUAGUUGGUGAGGUAAAGGCUCACCAAGGCGAUGAUACAUAGCCGACCUGAGAGGGUGAUCGGCCACAUUGGGACCGAGACACGGCCCAAACUCCUACGGGAGGCAGCAGUAGGGAAUCUUCGGCAAUGGACGAAAGUCUGACCGAGCAACGCCGCGUGAGUGAAGAAGGUUUUCGGAUCGUAAAACUCUGUUGGUAGAGAAGAACGUUGGUGAGAGUGGAAAGCUCAUCAAGUGACGGUAACUACCCAGAAAGGGACGGCUAACUACGUG